Molecule: ribosomal RNA, 437 nt
Filed under: uncultured bacterium
Lineage: Bacteria
Description: bacterial SSU rRNA
Rfam family: Bacterial small subunit ribosomal RNA
Source: RNAcentral
GCACAACGCGAAGAACCUUACCACCUUUGACAUGUACGGAAUCCUUUAGAGAUAGAGGAGUGCUCGAAAGAGAGCCGUAACACAGGUGCUGCAUGGCUGUCGUCAGCUCGUGUCGUGAGAUGUUGGGUUAAGUCCCGCAACGAGCGCAACCCUUGCCAUUAGUUGCUACAUUUAGUUGAGCACUCUAAUGGGACUGCCGGUGACAAACCGGAGGAAGGUGGGGAUGACGUCAAGUCCUCAUGGCCCUUAUAGGUGGGGCUACACACGUCAUACAAUGGCUGGUACAAAGGGUUGCCAACCCGCGAGGGGGAGCUAAUCCCAUAAAGCCAGUCGUAGUCCGGAUCGCAGUCUGCAACUCGACUGCGUGAAGUCGGAAUCGCUAGUAAUCGUGGAUCAGAAUGUCACGGUGAAUACGUUCCCGGGUCUUGUACACACCG